RNAcentral lists this ribosomal RNA (429 nucleotides) under Acidobacteriota bacterium. RNAcentral's name for it is "Acidobacteria bacterium partial 16S ribosomal RNA". It matches the Rfam family "Bacterial small subunit ribosomal RNA", at positions 355 to 776 of the family's 1533-position model. The record is from RNAcentral. Lineage: Bacteria; Pseudomonadati; Acidobacteriota.
UGGGGAAUUUUGGACAAUGGGGGAAACCCUGAUCCAGCCAUCCCGCGUGUGCGAUGAAGGCCUUCGGGUUGUAAAGCCCUUUUGGCAGGAAAGAAACGUCAUGGGUUAAUACCCCGUGAAACUGACGGUACCUGCAGAAUAAGCACCGGCUAACUACGUGCCAGCAGCCGCGGUAAUACGUAGGGUGCAAGCGUUAAUCGGAAUUACUGGGCGUAAAGCGUGCGCAGGCGGUUCGGAAAGAAAGAUGUGAAAUCACAGAGCUCAACUUUGGAACUGCAUUUUUAACUACCGGGCUAGAGUGGGGCAGAGGGAGGUGGAAUUCCGGGUGUAGCAGUGAAAUGCAUAGAUAUGCGGAGUAACACCGAUGGCGAAGGCAGCCUCCUGGGAUAACACUGACGCUCAUGCACGAAAGCGUGGGGAGCAAACAGG